Molecule: ribosomal RNA, 119 nt
Filed under: Lepisosteus oculatus (spotted gar)
Lineage: Eukaryota; Metazoa; Chordata; Actinopteri; Semionotiformes; Lepisosteidae
Source: RNAcentral
GUCAGCAGCCAUAUCACUCUGCAACUUACAACUGGCAGCCCACUGGAGCCCAGCAGCUGUGAGCCUGGUCAGUACCUGGAUGGGAGACCUCCUGGGAAAAACUAAGGUUGCUGCUGGAA